This 462-nucleotide ribosomal RNA is filed under the name Abiotrophia defectiva. Its description in RNAcentral is "bacterial SSU rRNA". It matches the Rfam family "Bacterial small subunit ribosomal RNA", at positions 28 to 468 of the family's 1533-position model. Lineage: Bacteria; Bacillati; Bacillota; Bacilli; Lactobacillales; Aerococcaceae. The record is from RNAcentral.
GACGAACGCUGGCGGCGUGCCUAAUACAUGCAAGUCGAACGAACCGUGACCGAGUGCUUGCACUUGGUCAAGGUGAGUGGCGAACGGGUGAGUAACACGUGGGUAACCUACCUCAUAGUGGGGGAUAACAGUCGGAAACGACUGCUAAUACCGCAUAGGACAUGGAAUCACAUGAUUCUGUGAGGAAAGGUGGCGCAAGCUAUCGCUAAGAGAUGGACCCGCGGUGCAUUAGCUAGUAGGUAGGGUAACGCCUACCAAGGCGAUGAUGCAUAGCCGACCUGAGAGGGUGAUCGGCCACAUUGGGACUGAGACACGGCCCAAACUCCUACGGGAGGCAGCAGUAGGGAAUCUUCCGCAAUGGACGCAAGUCUGACGGAGCAACGCCGCGUGAGUGAAGAAGGUCUUCGGAUCGUAAAGCUCUGUUGUUAGAGAAGAACAGCGCAUAGAGUAACUGUUAUGCGG